GACGAACCGUCCAAACGUUGUUCGGAAUCACUGGGCUUAAAGGGCGCGUAGGCGGGUCGGCAAGUCCGGGGUGAAAGCCCCCAGCUCAACUGGGGAAGUGCCUUGGAAACUGCCGGUCUCGAGGGAGGUAGGGGCCUGUGGAACUUCGGGUGGAGCGGUGAAAUGCGUUGAUAUCAGGAGGAACACCGAUGGCGAAGGCAGGUCUCUGGGCUGACACUGACGCUCAUGCACGAAAGCGUGGGGAGCAAACAGG
Molecule: ribosomal RNA, 253 nt
Filed under: uncultured bacterium
Lineage: Bacteria
Description: partial 16S ribosomal RNA
Rfam family: Bacterial small subunit ribosomal RNA
Source: RNAcentral